RNAcentral lists this ribosomal RNA (433 nucleotides) under uncultured bacterium. RNAcentral's name for it is "partial 16S ribosomal RNA". It matches the Rfam family "Bacterial small subunit ribosomal RNA", at positions 29 to 507 of the family's 1533-position model. The record is from RNAcentral.
AACGAACGCUGGCGGCAUGCCUAACACAUGCAAGUCGAACGAGACCUUCGGGUCUAGUGGCGCACGGGUGCGUAACGCGUGGUAACCUGCCCUUAGGUUCGGAAUAACUCCCCGUAAGGUGUGCUAAUACCGGAUAAUGUCUUCGGACCAAAGAUUUAUCGCCUUUGGAUGGGCCCGCGUUGGAUUAGCUAGUUGGUAGGGUAAAAGCCUACCAAGGCGACGAUCCAUAGCUGGUCGGAGAGGAUGAUCAGCCACACUGGGACUGAGACACGGCCCAGACUCCUACGGGAGGCAGCAGUGGGGAAUAUUGGACAAUGGGCGAAAGCCUGAUCCAGCAAUGCCGCGUGAGUGAUGAAGGCCUUAGGGUUGUACAGCUCUUUUACCCGGGAUGAUAAUGACAGUACCGGGAGAAUAAGCUCCGGCUAACUCCGUG